RNAcentral lists this ribosomal RNA (255 nucleotides) under uncultured bacterium. RNAcentral describes it as "partial 16S ribosomal RNA". It matches the Rfam family "Bacterial small subunit ribosomal RNA", at positions 521 to 776 of the family's 1533-position model. The record is from RNAcentral.
UAAUACGUAGGUGGCGAGCGUUAUCCGGAAUGAUUGGGCGUAAAGGGUGCGUAGGUGGCACAUUAAGUCUGAAGUAAAAGCCAGCAGCUCAACUGCUGUAAGCUUUGGAAACUGAAGUGCUAGAGUGCAGAAGAGGGUGAUGGAAUUCCAUGUGUAGCGGUAAAAUGCGUAGAUAUAUGGAGGAACACCAGUGGCGAAGGCGGUCACCUGGUCUGUAACUGACACUGAGGCACGAAAGCGUGGGGAGCAAAUAGG